Molecule: ribosomal RNA, 464 nt
Filed under: uncultured bacterium
Lineage: Bacteria
Description: partial 16S ribosomal RNA
Rfam family: Bacterial small subunit ribosomal RNA
Source: RNAcentral
GACGAACGCUGGCGGCGUGCUUAACACAUGCAAGUCGAACGGAAAGGCCCUGCUUGCAGGGUACUCGAGUGGCGAACGGGUGAGUAACACGUGGGUGGUCUGCCCUGCACUUCGGGAUAAGCCUGGUCAACUGGGUCUAAUACCGGAUAGGAGCCAUUUUUAGUGGGAUGGUUGGAAAGUUUGUUCGGUGUAGGAUGAGCUCGCUGCCUAUCAGCUUGUUGGUGGGGUAAUGGCCUACCAAGGCGGCGACGGGUAGCCGGCCUGAGAGGGUGGACGGCCACAUUGGGACUGCGAUACGGCCCAGACUCCUACGGGAGGCAGCAGUGGGGAAUAUUGCACAAUGGGCGCAAGCCUGAUGCAGCGACGCCGCGUGGGGGAUGACGGCCUUCGGGUUGUAAACUCCUUUCGCUAGGGACGAAGAUUUUUGUGACGGUACCUAGAUAAGAAGCACCGGCUAACUACGU